UGAACCCGGUUCCCACGUGCAGACGAGAGACUUGUGUAAAGAAGAGGGUGCUUUUUCCAUCGGAGUAGGGGGUGUCUUUUAGUUGCAGGCGCCUCUAGUAGUUUGUAGUCUUGGAGUAGUAGCAGUGCGUUCAAUUUUUGUUCCAGGCCUAACUUUGUGUGUGUGAGAGAUAUAGGCCUAGAUUCUAGAUCAAUUUGUGUGUGUUCUAGUUCUAUUUCCUAGUUCCUAUUGGCUUUAUUUAUUUCUGUUUUUAAAAAAUAUAUAUUUCUUUGGAAUGGAUCAGGCUUUACUUCCAGUGACCAAUGGGUCAAUUGAGGAUGACCACGAUCCAGGGAAAAUGUUUGUUGGUGGAUUAUCUUGGCAGACGACAGGAGAUACAUUACGGGAGUAUUUUCAUAAAUUUGGUGAAAUUAAAGAAGCACAGGUUAUGAAGGAUCCUACCACACGGAGAUCAAGGGGAUUUGGAUUUGUCACGUUCGUAGAUCCAGAAAGUAUUACUAAAGUUAUGGAUAGUAAACCUCAUCACAUAGACUCCAAAGGGGUGGACCCUAAAGUCGCUGUACCAAAGAAAUUAAACCCUAAGUUGGUGACCAAGACGAAAAAAAUCUUUAUAGGCGGGCUGUCCUCCACCACAACCAUAGAGGACUGCAAGAAAUAUUUCUCACAGUACGGCAAGAUAGAAGAUGGCAUGCUUAUGUUUGACAAGACUACAAAUAGACAUAGGGGUUUUGGUUUUAUCACAUUUGAAUCAGAAGAUGUAGUAGAAAAAGUGGUAGAGAUUCAUUUUCAUGAAAUUAACAGUAAAAUGGUUGAAUGUAAGAAGGCCCAGCCUAAAGAAGUGAUGGCACCUACCAACCCACUAGCCAGAGGGCGUGGCAUUGCUCGAGGUGCCCUUGUGACAGAGGAUGGCGCGAUAUUCUAUACAGAUUCCUUGAUUGGCGAAGAUGCCCUUAUUCCAGAAAUAUGCUACAUGCACCCGGGCUUCCCUGGAUUUGCAACGGCAGCUGCAUAUGGACGAGCAGGUUUCCCACCCAUGGCCCCUGGCUACAUCACAUACCCUACAGUCAGCCUCAAUUCUGCCAUGAUGUCCAACAUGGGCUUGACAUCUACAGCCAGUGGCAGUCCCACUGCCAUGUCCCAGGUGUCGCCUUCUCCUGGGAUCACCCUGACACAGGCUUCACCUAUCUUUGCAUGUGGUACCAACCUUGGGUCGCAAAUACCUCGAGCCCAGCCAUACGCCACAGCUGCGCCUUGUGUAGGGGUGACCAGGCCGUCCAAUACAUGUAACACCUCAUUCUUCACAUUGGCCAAUCACGUUCCUGUCCCUGGCUAUGGUUAUCUUCCCUUGUCAACUGCCGGCUCUGAAAGAGCCCUGAUGGCCAACCCUGGUACAGCAUAUGCUGAUUUUGCUAACCCAGUUGCUACAGCCCCUCUGGCCCUCCCUGCCCCUCCGUCUCUGACCCACCGUAACGAUAAUGGAAGCACAGCCCUUACUUUAGCCACCACAACACAGCUACAGAGAGAGCAAAUGACAAGGGCGGCAGCUGGGCACAGCUUUGGAGCAACUGUUUUGGGAGGGUUUGGAACCUACCCCACUACUACCUCCCCCAUGAAUCGUGCAUUUACCAACUCUCCCCCAACUCCAAUGGACAUGUACUCGCAGGAGAGUGUGACCUAUAUUCAGCACAAUGCUGCUACCUCACCCCAGCCUGGGGCGUUCGCUGCAUUUGGUUUGGGCAGGGGUCUUGUAGCCACAGCUUAUAACGCUGGUUUCCACUGACACAGGAUGACCAAUUUAUUAAAUUGUAGGAAUGAAAUGAUUUUUAAAAAUUCAAGACCCAAGCCCUAACCAAUGCUCUACUAGCAGGUCACAAAUUUUAAUACCAACUAUCUUUCUGUGGAUCCCCUCCACUUGGGCUCUGAAGGUGCUUAUCAGCAGGGGUCAACUCAAUGGAAGUGGAUGCAGUCUUAUGAUGUUUUUUUUUUUUUUUAAUAUUGUACUAAGCAAUGAACUAACUUUACACCUUGUAAAACAGCAAAGGUUUUACAACUUUUUUUUGUUGUUUUGAUAAAUAUUUAUUCCAUACUUUAUCACCUAAAAUUAUUUCCAUGCCCAUUAUUUUUUUAUUUAUUAUCUCAUUAUAGCAGAAAAACAAUACCAGUCAAAAAUAACUUUAAGACAAUGUACUUUUAAUUUUUUUAAUUUUUUUUUUUACCAUCUUAGACAUUUCUAAAACCGAUGCAAAUAUCAAGAAGAAUUUGAAGAAAACUUGUGUGUGAAACUGUCAGCUUAAAACUAAAAGUUAACCUAUGUCUCAGCUCCAAGAAUUCUUGGGCAAACACUGAUGUGUUCUUCUCUUACCAUAAAUACAUGUGUAAAAUUUGUGUUUUAUUUUUUAUUGCUUUGUUGUUGUUUUUUUAAUGAGAGUUAGGAAAAACAACAAAAAAAAAACUCUUCAAAGGUAUUGAAGUGUUCAAUAAUCUAUCAUAACUGUUCAAACCAUUUGAAUGAACAGUAGGAUAUGACUUUGCUAGUUAUACUGGUCUUUUUUUUUUUACUUCCAUAAAAAGGUUUCCAUACAUCUAGGCCAAUGUGUACAUACAGUAUAUUUAACUUUAAAAACAAAACAUUCAAUGUUACCUACUAAUAACGCUGGUGUACUUACCUUUUUUAUUGUUUCCUUUCAGAAACUCAUCCACAAAUUGAUAUUGUAUCACAUAUUUAUAGAACAUCUAAUUUUAUUUAUAGUUGUGCUGUAUUGAACAAGUUGAGCAUAUUACUUCUAAAUUUAGAACAAAAGAAGCCAAGACUUGGAGCUUCACUGAGAUCUCUUCCUUCAAUGUGUCAUCUCUGAUUACAAUGCAAAACACAUUUGUUAAACCAAGAAUCAUGUGAUGAGACUUAUUUAUUUCACUGUGCACCAUCUUCUGGACUAAACCACCUUAUUGAACAACUGGCUUCCAACCUUUUCAACUUUUUUUUUUUUCCCUUUUUGCAAUUUUUUUUUUUUCUUUCAAGUUUAUUUCUUGUAUAUAUAAUAUAUAAAUGAUAAAAUUGUACAGAAUUGUCUGAUAUAUCAUUACCCAACAUAUUGUUUCCCUUUGUUUUUCCUUUGGUUCUCUCCCUUAUAAACCACUAAAACUUAUUCAUGACUAAAUAUGACUUUGUCUUAUUCCAUAUUUAAAAGAGAAAAAAAAAUUGAAAAAACAAGCAAUAAUUUUGUAUAUUUGUGUUGAUGUUAAAGAAAUUGAAUGUGAGUUUAUUCAAAUAAAUAGAUAAGUCAGAUAAGCCAUGUCCAGUCAGUAAUUCUGUUCUCCUCUAAGCCUUUCAAAUUAAGGCUUUUUUUCAGAAAAAAAAAUUUUUUUUGUAAUUUGUUAAUAGACUAGCAAAAGAAAUAUCUUUGGAUCAUUUAUGGAAAUAUUAAAAGAAACAAAUACUUAGAAACAAUAACAUAUUUAUAAUACUUAAAUCAAUUGAUUUUUUUGAUUUUUUUUUUUGGUACUAUAUUGAAAAGUCACAAAAUCUUUAUAAUCUAAAACACUUAUUCUUGCAAAAGAAUGUCCUGCAGCAUAUAAAUUGUAAAUGAUCACAACUUGUUGUUCUUUUGUAAAUGUGAUUUUUUGGGGGGUCAAUAUCUUGUUGAUUUUCUCCUAAAUUAAAGAAAAUUUUUAAAAUCAUGUGAAAAAAAAUCUACAUUGAACUAAUGUCAAAGAUUUGGUCUCAGUGCCAUAUAAAAUGAAGAAGAUUUGGGGAUCAUUAUUUCUGAUAGAUACUUAACACAGUCCUGUAGUGCUUGAAAUGCUAAUCACAUGGUAUCUGAGUCCAUGUCUAGCUGUCCAGUCCUAGGUCAUUGGUAAACUCUUCAUGGACCCCCUUUUUUUUUUUUAUUCCUUCCAAUCUCAUGCAUGCUUGUAUUUCAAGAAGGCGUUAAUGACUGAAUGCCUCAAUUGUGACCCUGGAAGUACUGUCACAUGACCAACUAAUUACCAGCAAGUGUUUGUGUCUAGUGUCAUUGAUGAAUAAAAAAUGUCAAUUGACUUCUGCCAGCUUCGUCUUACAGGCUUACAACAUUGUGUACAAUAUAAAUAUCAACAAUGACCUACUGUGAAUAUCAACCAAUAUUUUUGUUUUCUUUGUUCUUAAUGUCACCUUGUUGUUAAGAUUCUAUUAAUGAUGGUGUUAUUUACUCUUCUAUGUGAUAUGAAUCAUUUGUCACCUCAUUGUUAUGACUAAAACAAUUUUGUUCAUUUAUUUAUUUUCAAAAUGACAUCAUUUACUUAUUUUGCAUAUAUUUAAAAUUAUCAUUUAGUAAUAUUUCAUUUCUUUUUUUUUUAGCUUUUAUUUAAAAUCAAUAGAAUUUUUAUGAAAUAAAAAAAGAUUAAAAAUUACCAUGUGUUUGAUAACUGCCACUUAAUUUUUAUGGUACAUAAGAUUUUAACAUGAUAAAUUUUAUUUUGCAAAAGAAUUAAAUUUAAAAAAACACAAUUGGGUAAUUAGAGAUUGUGAAAUUGUAUACAAUAAUCUCUAUUCACUUUUAAAUGUCUUUUACAGAAAAAUAAAAUAUUAUAUGAGUAUUAGAAAAAGGAUAAUACCGGUAGUAGUUAAAAGGAAUUUUGGCUAAGAACAAAACUUCAAGUCUGUCUGCUAUGUUCAUUAUUAAACUAAGAAAAUCUUUUUCAUUCUGAAGAAAAGUGAUGUUUUAAACUCUAUUGAACAGAGUUUCUUUUAUUUCUAGUUAGUUUGUGUGUGUGUGUGUAUUUGUGAAUGAAAUGUAACAUUUCGUAUCCACAUCAAUGUCCACAUCAGUGUCCACAUAUCAACUUGACAUUUUACUUUUGGAUCAUUGACUGAACUGUCUCGCUUCAUUUUUCCUUUUUUAUAAUUUAAUCUGUAAGUCUGCUUCACAUGAUAACUAUGUUUAUGAAUAUUCAUAUAUAUAUAUUUUUACAAAUAUCCUGGUAAUAUAUUCACACUUAUUUUACAGACAUUUAUUUAUAUGUUAAAUUGUGUGUGUGUGUGUUUAUUGUUUUGUUUGGCUAAUAAUUCAAAUCAGACAAGAAGUUUUUUAUUUUAUGCUUAACUUUAAAGGAAUUCAUUUUAAAACAACUUAUUUAUAUAUAGUUAUUAUUUUACGCUCUUUAAAUUUUAAAUUAGAGUCCUUUAAGAACAAAGUUCUGUGUAUUUCUUUUUUUUUUAAUUCUUAUUUUCUGUAUAUACAAGUAGCCAACAUUUAUAAAUAUUUUUUAUGCUUUCACACAAUUUCUAAAUAUAAAUUGAGCUUUCUAAAAUAGAUUCUAAUCAUUUUGUUAAUAUGAGACAAAAAUGUAAAUAAAACAUAGAGCUUCAUCACAGAAUCUUUGCCAAUUUUUAAUGUAUCCAAAUAGCUUUCACUUAAAAUUGUAUUAUCAAUGCAUAAAAAAAAACUAAAAAUGAAGUAAAAUUGUCCUACAUUGGCUACUAAUACAUAAUAUAUUCAUUUAAAUAGUUGAACAUCACAUUUAUAAAUAAAUAGGACAUUUUUUACUGAAUUUUUUAUUGAUAGCUAUACUUGCACUAUGGCUUACUGAAAAUAUGGCCUACAUUUUUAUGGCAAGAAAAUAUUGACAUAAGUUGAAGGACUAGGAUGUAACAUUAUUUUUUAAGAAAUGUUCAAAAUUCAUCAAACGUUUAUAAAUAUGGGUAAAUUGUUUUUUCUUUGCUAUCAGGGCAAUUAGUUGAAGAAAUAUAAUGAAAGUAUAAAAUAACAAUCUUGUAGCAUUUAUUUCAAGAAUUUCAUUUUCUGAUUUUACUCUUCCUUUGAAAAUUAGGAAUUUUUAUUAUUUUAAGAUUUAUAUAUUUUUUUUUUAAAUUUCAUUUGCUUUGUCCCUUCUUCCCAAUGUCUUGUUACACUUUGUACUUAAGUGAAAGUACCAAUAGAAUGGACUGAUCUCAUAAGUAGGAAAUGAAUAGUCAUUUAUUUAAAAUAAUCAUUGUCUGUAUUUUUUUAUAACGAGCAAAGAAAUAUUUAGACCAUUAAAUCAUUACUUAUUCCAAUCUUCUGUAGUUUUUUUUUUCUUUUUACUAUGCAAUUGCUUUAAUGGCACAAGUUUUUGUUCUGAUAAAAAGAUUGUCAUAAAAAAUCAUCAUAGUAAAAAAAAUUUUUGUUUCUAUUUAAGAGUGUGAAAAUCAAGUCACAAUUUUCCGAUCAAAGUUUUUGUGAAUGGGUAAUAGAGAAAAAAAGGAUGUAAUUGUAUUGUGAUAUACAAAUGUUUAUUUAUUUUGAAUCUAGAUUUGAGUAAAUUAACAAACUGAUGAAUGUUACUCUGUGAUCUGGAUGUUUGAUCUUUCAUUUGAUUGGACAGUUUGUAAUGAUUCUGCACUAAGUGGAAUUUUUUUUUGAAACAAAAGUUUUAAACACUAAAAGUCCAAUUAGUAUUCUACAAGUUUGACUUCUUUUUCAACUUGAAUUAUAAUUACUUAUAAAAUAAAAUUAAUAAAAAUUAUUCAUCAAUUGCUUAAUAACAUUUUUUUUUAAUUUAUUUUUUCUUAAUUGUUUUGGAUGACAAGGGAAAAAUCGGUUUUGUGACGAAACAAUUGUUGAAUCGAAGAUAAUAAAGCAAUAGUUUCAUAUUUCUCUCAUGUUUGAUGUUUAAUGAAACAGUUGAACACACUUACACAACUUUUGGAAAGGAAAUGUUCAUGGAUUUGUUUUAAAUAAAUAUAGGCCCUACCUUUUGUUUUUAAAUGUUGGCCUAUACACUUUUUCAAAUUUGCCAUAACUUGUUAAAAAAAAGUUUUUUGUUAUAUUAUAAAUCUAAUUGUAGGAAGCCUGGUCUAAAUAACAAUCAAUUUAUCUAGGGCUGCUUUUGUUUAAACCUUCUCUCAAUAAAAUGAAAAUAUCUCAUAUAAUGUAUUGCACAUGAUAUAAUGAUUCUGUUUUGUCAAUAUAUAUAAUGUAUCUUUAUAUAUAUAUAUAUAUCUACAUGCAUAUGUAUAAUUAUUGUAAUCGAUCUACAGGGUUUCUUGUUUCUAUAUUUACUAAUCAUCAAUUGGUGCAAAUGUCUUUUUUAAAUUUUUUUUUCAAUCUAUUCCCUAUCAAUUGAUAUUAAUGGUCCGCUUUCUAUUAUGUUCUUGCUACACAUUUCCACAACAUAAACAUCAAUAUUGGCAUUGAAUAACUUGUCAUUUAAAAUCUGUGAACAGUUUUUCAUCUAAAAAUAAAACACUUGGAGAAUGGGGUAAUUGAUGUCAGUUUUUGUUUGUCAUUAAAUUCUAUAUUUAUUUCCAACUGAAACCACAGCUUGAUUAUUUUUUUCUGUUUUUGCUUUUUUUUUUUUUUUUAUCAGAUUGCUAUUUUCUGCCUUAUUUUAAAAUAUAAAUUAAGCUGUAUUUUUUUUACUUACUUACAGUAAACAGCAGUUAAAAAAUAAUUGUGAGUAAGUUUGUUUUAAAGUGGCAAUAAAGAUUGUCUGUGCAUGUUUUUGUUUUCACUUAGUUUAUUUUAUUGUUGUUUUUUUUUCCUCAUAGGGUUUUCAUGAUAGAGUAAUUGAUGAUCUAAACAAAAUCUUUCUUUUUAUGAAAAUGUCUUCCUAUGUUGCACUUAACAUUUGGCCAAUAAAAACUAGCAACUGAUGUCAUUAUUCUAGAAAUGAUUUACUGCAAAACAAGUUUCAACAUGAGCUAGAAUAAUAAGUGUGGGUUAGAUGAUUUUGUUAGAUUAAAUUUUGAUUAAAAUUAGUAAGAAAUUUAAACAAAUAAUAAUAAAAGUUACUUCACAUCUGGUAAAUAUGAAUACAUUUCAUUGACAUUAUCUAUGAGGUUCAUAAGUUUCUUAAGCCUAUCACAUUUUUCUAUAGUCAUUUCAGUGUUACAAAUCUGAUCUAUUACAAUGAAGAUCUGUUUUUAUUCCAUUAAAAAUAAUUUAAACACUCUUCAGAUGUCUGGAGAGGAGUAUUCAUUAUUUUCCUUUUAUUCAAUGACUCUGUAUAUUUGACAAACAUAGUCUGAUUUUGUGGUUUGGGGGCUUUGUUUAAUGGAUACUAAAAGUGCAAUGAAAUAUUCUUCUAGAUAUUUGUGUUUAUUUUCUGUAGCUGAACAUAUAGACAAAAAAAAAAAAGUCAAAGUAACUUCUGAGAAUGUGAUCAUUUGAAUGGUUUAUAGAGAAAAGUCUUUGAUACAUUCACAUGAUAAAAUUGUGAAUAGGGUUCAAUAAUUGUUGUGGAUGUGAUCCAGAUGGAUACUUUGAAACUCACGAUGGGAAAGCUGGGUAAAAAACAUAAAUAGUUUUCCUGCUUUUCAGUGAACUAAGAAAGCUUAAGGUAGAUCAACAAUCAUUUUUAUAUAGCUCUUUUCUUUUUCUUUUUUUUUUAUGACAAAACAUCGAAAACCAAUUUGGUGAAAAGGAAACCUUUUUAAAUGGCAGCAAACCUGUAUAGCAGGAGUUUUCCAUCCACUUAGUUAUUGAAGUGUGUGAGAAUGAACUGACAUGAUGGUCCAUAGUUAUCAGUUCAACCAAUCAUUGGAAGAGAAAAUAUACAAAUGUUUAAAAAAAAACUUAAAAAAAUAGAAUUUCACUUCUGUGAAAAUAGAAUCUCUUGAUAAGACAAUAUUCUAUAAAUGAAGAUAUUAAACUAAAAUGAAAAUCAACUAUUAAUAGUAAUACCAAUUACAACUACAUUUCCUGAACUAUAGUUUGUAUGUGACACUUUAAUUUUUUUAUUUUUUUGUAUCAUACAUAUAUACAAAAUAUGGCUUACAUUUUUUUUGUGAGACUAAAUUUAGAAAGUUUUUGGUCUUUAUUUUGUAAUCUAUAACUCUAGAGAGAAAGUGUGUUUUUGAAACUGUUGCUAGUGAUAGUCGAUGCUGGACCACAAAUAAAGUCUGAGUUUCUCCCUGA
Molecule: RNA transcript, 8876 nt
Organism: Biomphalaria glabrata
Lineage: Eukaryota; Metazoa; Mollusca; Gastropoda; Planorbidae
Gene name: RNA-binding protein Musashi homolog 2-like
Exons: 16
Source: RefSeq, a predicted model, not a curated record